AGAGUUUGAUCCUGGCUCAGNNUGAACGCUGCGGCGUGCUAUACAUGCAAGUCGAGCGGAAGGCCUCUUCGGAGGUACACGAGCGGGGACGGCUGAGUAACACGANNAACGUACCCCGAAGUGAGGAAUAACUGCCCGAAAGGNNGGCUAAUGCCGCAUAUGCUCUACGGAGAAAGCUUCGGCGCUUCGGGAACGGCCUGCGUCCGAUUAGCUUGUUGGUAAGGUAAUGGCUUACCAAGGCGACGAUCGGAGCUGGCUGAGAGGAUGAUCAGCCAGACUGGGACUGAGACACGGCCCAGACUCCUACGGGAGGCAGCAGUAGGGAAUUUUCCACAAUGGGGGCAACCCUGAUGGAGCAACGCCGCGUGCAGGAUGAAUGCCUUCGGGUUGUAAACUGCUUUUCUCUGUGACGAUUAUGACGGUAGCAGAGGAAUAAGGAUCGGCUAACUCCGUGCCAGCAGCCGCGGUCAUACGGAGGAUCCAAGCGUUAUCCGGAAUUACUGGGCGUAAAGAGUUGCGUAGGUGGCAUAGUAAGUUAGUAGUGAAAGCGUGUGGCUCAACCAUACUCACAUUACUAAAACUGCUAAGCUUGAGGACGAGAGAGGUACCUGGAAUUCCCAGUGUAGGAGUGAAAUCCGUAGAUAUUGGGAGGAACACCGAUGGCGUAGGCAGGGUACUGGCUCGUUCCUGACACUCAGGCACGAAAGCGUGGGGAGCAAACGGGAUUAGAUACCCCGGUAGUCC
RNAcentral lists this ribosomal RNA (744 nucleotides) under uncultured bacterium. RNAcentral's name for it is "bacterial SSU rRNA". It matches the Rfam family "Bacterial small subunit ribosomal RNA", at positions 8 to 796 of the family's 1533-position model. The record is from RNAcentral.